RNAcentral lists this ribosomal RNA (517 nucleotides) under uncultured bacterium. RNAcentral's name for it is "partial 16S ribosomal RNA". It matches the Rfam family "Bacterial small subunit ribosomal RNA", at positions 28 to 523 of the family's 1533-position model. The record is from RNAcentral.
GACGAACGCUGGCGGCGUGCCUAAUACAUGCAAGUCGAGCGGACCGAACGAGGGCUUGCUCUUGUUUGGUCAGCGGCGGACGGGUGAGUAACACGUGGGCAACCUGCCCGCAAGACCGGGAUAACUCCGGGAAACCGGAGCUAAUACCGGAUAACACCGAAGACCGCAUGGUCUUCGGUUGAAAGGCGGCCUUUGGGCUGUCACUUGCGGAUGGGCCCGCGGCGCAUUAGCUAGUUGGUGAGGUAACGGCUCACCAAGGCGACGAUGCGUAGCCGGCCAGAGAGGGUGACCGGCAACACUGGGACUGAGACACGGCCCAGACUCCUACGGGAGGCAGCAGUAGGGAAUCUUCCGCAAUGGGCGAAAGCCUGACGGAGCGACGCCGCGUGGGCGAAGAAGGCCUUCGGGUCGUAAAGCUCUGUUGUGAGGGACGAAGGAGCGCCGUUCGAAGAGGGCGGCGCGGUGACGGUACCUCACGAGAAAGCCCCGGCUAACUACGUGCCAGCCGCCGCCGUAA